Molecule: ribosomal RNA, 635 nt
Filed under: Filobasidium magnum
Lineage: Eukaryota; Fungi; Basidiomycota; Tremellomycetes; Filobasidiales; Filobasidiaceae
Description: partial 26S ribosomal RNA
Source: RNAcentral
GUACGUGGACGAAUCCCGGCCAUAAAGGCGUGCUGCGUUCCUCAGUCCCAACCACUGUAUGUGACAGGAGGCUAUAAGUUUACCCGAGGGUACUACGUUCCUCCAGCCUUUAUCCAGCGAUCAAAACUGAUGUUGACCCCACUCAAAGGAAGUACACCGGCAGAACCGGCUGAAUCCAAAGAGCACGACUGACUUCAAUCGUUUCCCUUUCAACAAUUUCACAUACUGUUUAACUCUCUUUCCAAAGUGCUUUUCAUCUUUCCCUCACGGUACUUGUUCGCUAUCGGUCUCUCGCCAAUAUUUAGCUUUAGAUGGAAUUUACCACCCAUUUUGAGCUGCAUUCCCAAACAACUCGACUCGUUGAAAAUGUAUCACAGAGCACUGGUAGUUCAUGUCAAGGACGGGAUUCUCACCCUCUAUGACGCCCUGUUCCAAGGGACUUGUACAUGAGCCAGCACGGAAAACACUUCUAUAGAUUACAACUCGGAUGACCUGAGGCCACCAGAUUUCAAAUUUGAGCUCUUCCCGCUUCACUCGCCGUUACUAGGGGAAUCCUUGUUAGUUUCUUUUCCUCCGCUUAUUGAUAUGCUUAAGUUCAGCGGGUAGUCCUACUUGAUUUGAGGCCAGAUGUCAAA